RNAcentral lists this ribosomal RNA (406 nucleotides) under uncultured bacterium. RNAcentral describes it as "partial 16S ribosomal RNA". It matches the Rfam family "Bacterial small subunit ribosomal RNA", at positions 30 to 526 of the family's 1533-position model. The record is from RNAcentral.
AUUGAACGCUGGCGGCAGGCUUAACACAUGCAAGUCGAACGAGUGGCGGACGGGUGCGUAAUGUCUGGGAAACUGCCUGAUGGAGGGGGAUAACUACUGGAAACGGUAGCUAAUACCGCAUACCAUCAGAUGUGCCCAGAUGGGAUUAGCUAGUAGGUGGGUUAACGGCUCACCAAGGCGACGAUCCCUAGCUGGUCUGAGAGGAUGACCAGGCACAAGGGAGUGUAGACACGGUCCAGACUCCGACGGGAGGCAGCAGUGGGGAAGAUUGCACAAUGGGCGCAAGCCUGAUGCAGCCAUGCCGCGUGUAUGAAGAAGGCCUUCGGGUUGUAAAGUACUUUCAGCGAGGAGGCGUUACUCGCAGAAGAAGCACCGGCUAACUCCGUGCCAGCAGCCGAGGUAAUAC